UAAUGGGUCAGCGACUUAUAUUCAGUGGCAAGGUUAACCAUCUAGGGGAGCCGUAGGGAAACCGAGUCUUAACUGGGCGUUCAGUCUCUGGAUAUAGACCCGAAACCAGGUGAUCUAGCCAUGGGCAGGUUGAAGGUUGAGUAACAUCAACUGGAGGACCGAACCGACUAAUGUUGAAAAAUUAGCGGAUGACUUGUGGCUAGGGGUGAAAGGCCAAUCAAACCUGGAGAUAGCUGGUUCUCCCCGAAAGCUAUUUAGGUAGCGCCUCGGACGAAUACUACUGGGGGUAGAGCACUGUUAAGGCUAGGGGGUCAUCCCGACUUACCAACCCUUUGCAAACUCCGAAUACCAGUAAGUACUAUCCGGGAGACACACGGCGGGUGCUAACGUCCGUCGUGGAGAGGGAAACAACCCAGACCGCCAGCUAAGGUCCCAAAUUACUACUAAGUGGGAAACGAUGUGGGAAGGCUCAGACAGCCAGGAUGUUGGCUUAGAAGCAGCCAUCAUUUAAAGAAAGCGUAAUAGCUCACUGGUCGAGUCGGCCUGCGCGGAAGAUGUAACGGGGCUAAGUAGUAAACCGAAGCUGCGGCAAUAUACUUUUGUAUAUUGGGUAGGGGAGCGUUCUGUAAGCGGUUGAAGGUGUGUGGUAACGCAUGCUGGACGUAUCAGAAGUGCGAAUGCUGACAUGAGUAACGAUAAAGGGGGUGAAAAACCUCCUCGCCGGAAGACCAAGGGUUCCUGUCCAACGUUAAUCGGGGCAGGGUAAGUCGACCCCUAAGGCGAGGCCGAAAGGCGUAGUCGAUGGGAAACGGGUUAAUAUUCCCGUACUUCUUACAAUUGCGAUGGGGGGACGGAGAAGGCUAGGUGGGCCUGGCGACGGUUGU
This 884-nucleotide ribosomal RNA is filed under the name Vibrio parahaemolyticus. Its description in RNAcentral is "partial 23S ribosomal RNA". It matches the Rfam family "Bacterial large subunit ribosomal RNA", at positions 613 to 1505 of the family's 2925-position model. The record is from RNAcentral. Lineage: Bacteria; Pseudomonadati; Pseudomonadota; Gammaproteobacteria; Vibrionales; Vibrionaceae.